Molecule: unclassified non-coding RNA, 625 nt
Filed under: Hevea brasiliensis (rubber tree)
Lineage: Eukaryota; Viridiplantae; Streptophyta; Magnoliopsida; Malpighiales; Euphorbiaceae
Source: RNAcentral
AGUAAUCUACCAUAUAGAUGGCAUUUAAAAAAAAAAAUGAGCUAACAUGACCAGGAAAAUAAAAAAAUUGUUGCAUCCUUGUUGUGUCCAAAUUUUGACUUGUACAAACAAGAGUUGGAUUCAUGUUGUAGAAGUGCCAGCCAUGGACAGUUCAGCAAAAACAAAGUGUCAGUGCUUCAUAGGAUUUGAUAUCCCAGAAUGUUUAAUGGAAACUUAAAAUCCAAGCAAUAAAAACAGCUUGGCUGAAGAAGCAUUAGCAAAUAAUAGAGACACGUAAUUUUGAAUGAAUAUAUAUCUUUUCAUAUUAUUUACUUUAUGCUGAAGAUGCCAACAGAAUGUGGAAUACAAUAAUAAGAUUUAAAGAUUUAUGAAGUAUUGAAUUUGCACCACAAAUUUGUUGAAAAUGUAUGCACUGAGCUCAAUUGAUUACUCUCAUUACAUGAAUUUAGUCAACAAGAACAUAACCUUAUCCACAUAUGGAAUUAAACCAUUUGAAUUACCAAUUGCAGCCAGGCGUUCCUUCUUUUUCUCUAUUUUUUCCUCCUUGGUCAAUGGCUUUUUAAAUCCAAGUUCUGCUGUAGCCAUUUCUCUCUCUCGUCUUUGCGUAGCAAGACGCUCCUCAAAA